Tachyglossus aculeatus (Australian echidna) is the source of this 107-nucleotide small nuclear RNA. NCBI's taxonomy places the organism in Eukaryota, Metazoa, Chordata, Mammalia, Monotremata, Tachyglossidae. The record is from RefSeq and is a predicted model, not a curated record.
GUGCUUGCUUUAGCAGCACUUAUACUAAAAUCGGAACGAUGCAGAAAAGAUUAGUAUGGCCCUUGUACGGGGAUGACAGGAAAAUUCCUAAUGCUUUCAAUAUUUUU